RNAcentral lists this ribosomal RNA (1372 nucleotides) under uncultured bacterium. RNAcentral describes it as "bacterial SSU rRNA". It matches the Rfam family "Bacterial small subunit ribosomal RNA", at positions 28 to 1381 of the family's 1533-position model. The record is from RNAcentral.
GAUGAACGCUGGCGGCGUGCCUAAUACAUGCAAGUCGAGCGAACGGACGAGAAGCUUGCUUCUCUGAUGUUAGCGGCGGACGGGUGAGUAACACGUGGAUAACCUGCCUAUAAGACUGGGAUAACUUCGGGAAACCGUAGCUAAUACCGGAUAAUAUUUUGAACCGCAUGGUUCAAAAGUGAAAGACGGUCUUGCUGUCACUUAUAGAUGGAUCCGCGCUGCAUUAGCUAGUUGGUAAGGUAACGGCUUACCAAGGCAACGAUGCAUAGCCGACCUGAGAGGGUGAUCGGCCACACUGGAACUGAGACACGGUCCAGACUCCUACGGGAGGCAGCAGUAGGGAAUCUUCCGCAAUGGGCGAAAGCCUGACGGAGCAACGCCGCGUGAGUGAUGAAGGUCUUCGGAUCGUAAAACUCUGUUAUUAGGGAAGAACAUAUGUGUAAGUAACUGUGCACAUCUUGACGGUACCUAAUCAGAAAGCCACGGCUGACUACGUGCCAGCAGCCGCGGUAAUACGUAGGUGGCAAGCGUUAUCCGGAAUUAUUGGGCGUAAAGCGCGCGUAGGCGGUUUUUUAAGUCUGAUGUGAAAGCCCACGGCUCAACCGUGGAGGGUCAUUGGAAACUGGAAAACUUGAGUGCAGAAGAGGAAAGUGGAAUUCCAUGUGUAGCGGUGAAAUGCGCAGAGAUAUGGAGGAACACCAGUGGCGAAGGCGACUUUCUGGUCUGUAACUGACGCUGAUGUGCGAAAGCGUGGGGAUCAAACAGGAUUAGAUACCCUGGUAGUCCACGCCGUAAACGAUGAGUGCUAAGUGUUAGGGGGUUUCCGCCCCUUAGUGCUGCAGCUAACGCAUUAAGCACUCCGCCUGGGGAGUACGACCGCAAGGUUGGAACUCAAAGGAAUUGACGGGGACCCGCACAAGCGGUGGAGCAUGUGGUUUAAUUCGAAGCAACGCGAAGAACCUUACCAAAUCUUGACAUCCUUUGACAACUCUAGAGAUAGAGCCUUCCCCUUCGGGGGACAAAGUGACAGGUGGUGCAUGGUUGUCGUCAGCUCGUGUCGUGAGAUGUUGGGUUAAGUCCCGCAACGAGCGCAACCCUUAAGCUUAGUUGCCAUCAUUAAGUUGGGCACUCUAAGUUGACUGCCGGUGACAAACCGGAGGAAGGUGGGGAUGACGUCAAAUCAUCAUGCCCCUUAUGAUUUGGGCUACACACGUGCUACAAUGGACAAUACAAAGGGCAGCGAAACCGCGAGGUCAAGCAAAUCCCAUAAAGUUGUUCACAGUUCGGAUUGUAGUCUGCAACUCGACUACAUGAAGCUGGAAUCGCUAGUAAUCGUAGAUCAGCAUGCUACGGUGAAUACGUUCCCGGGUCU